GGGAUAUCUGUGGGACUGAGGCAGGAGCAGGAGUAGCAGCCGGAGCACCUAAAUGAAGCGUUCCAAUGAGUGACAAGGAGUACCUGAAUAGGCUCUUCCUCUUCACACUGGCCUGAUACAAGAAGAUCUCCAUAUU
Panthera uncia (snow leopard) is the source of this 136-nucleotide long non-coding RNA. RefSeq lists it as uncharacterized. NCBI's taxonomy places the organism in Eukaryota, Metazoa, Chordata, Mammalia, Carnivora, Felidae. The record is from RefSeq and is a predicted model, not a curated record. The transcript has 2 exons.